AUCGGACUCCACGGGAGCCCCACCAGUGGGCUGAGAGGGCGGUGAGCGAGACCGCCGACCGUCACCACCUGAUCCGGAUAAUGCCGGCGCAGGGAAGGAGGCACGUGCCCCAA
This 113-nucleotide non-coding RNA is filed under the name Conexibacter woesei. RNAcentral describes it as "TPP sequence". It matches the Rfam family "TPP riboswitch aptamer (THI element)". From Rfam's summary of the family: Vitamin B(1) in its active form thiamin pyrophosphate (TPP) is an essential coenzyme that is synthesised by coupling of pyrimidine and thiazole moieties in bacteria. The previously detected thiamin-regulatory element, thi box was extended, resulting in a new, highly conserved RNA secondary structure, the THI element, which is widely distributed in eubacteria and also occurs in some archaea. The record is from RNAcentral. Lineage: Bacteria; Bacillati; Actinomycetota; Thermoleophilia; Solirubrobacterales; Conexibacteraceae. RNAcentral also lists the same sequence under 1 other name.